GGAGGAGAGGGAGGGAAGAGGUGAGACAGCCUUGGGAAUGCUCUGGCAGCAGCGCAGAGUUUCAGUGAGGAUGGCUUUCACUGCAGCAGGACCGCCCCUGGUCAACCUGCGUCCUGAGGGGCGGAUGGCUGCACCAGCAUCACCUCUCAGCACUCCACAGGCACAUCAGAGUCAUUAACGCCUGGUUAAGGCACCUGAAACGUGUUCGGUGAGAGCAACAGCAGAAAUCCGAGAAGAAGAAAGACUUUUUUUCCUGGUGAAGUGCCAUACUGCUGCACUGCGUUUCUCUGAGAUUACACGUGCCCUGGUCUACAAAUACGGAUAUGGUUACUACAGAAAUGGCCACAAUUUUCUGUCUUUCCAUUGUGCUGUUUAACUACACCAAGCAAAUAGAGACAUCUUAUAUUAGCAAUAUAUAUAUAUAUAAAAUGAAGAAGCUGUGUGCUUUUAACAUACUGCACUGCCAAUCAAAAUUUAUCUGGAUAUAUAGAGUGCUCCCUAUCCAUAUUCUGCCAAUGGUCCUCUGUUCCCCUUAACUCACCGUGUCCACAUCCUUUUCUCCUUGCUGACCUCCUCCUGCUGACCACCCGUCCCUGCAGCUCAGGUUGCCCUGAGAGGUGAUGGAUGCUCCAUCCCUGGAGGUACUCAAGGUCAGACUGGACAGGGCUCUGAGCAACCUGAUGGAGCUGUAGGUGUCCCCGUUCAUUGCAGGGGAGCUGGACUGGGUGAGCCUUAAAAAUCCCUUCCAGCUCAAAAGAUUCAAUGGUUCUAUAAAACUGCAUUCAUGCAAUUACUUUUGUACGGAGCCUUGUGUUUGACUGAAACUUCCAGAUAGGUAUUUUCUCUUCCAUUGCUGGAAGAGAAAUGUGUAUUUUUGGGCCUAAGGCUGCUCACAAACAAAGCACGAGCGGUUUCCAUGUCUCAUUUCUAUCUGAUACUGUAUUUGAAGCUUAGGUCUUGCUUCCCUGGCUCCUGCCAGGCAACCACAGAGCAUAACACCAGCAUACACCAGCUGCAGCAGCGAUGUGUUCCUUCAGGCCUUCAGUGUGCUGCUGGGUGCUGCAAGCUUUUCUCCAUCCCUGCUUCCCACCAUGCAAGCCAGCCAGCACAGCAAAGCCAGGAUAUGUACAGGAAAAAAAAAAAAGGGUGGUGUUUUGUUCUGUUUUGUUUUUUAAUCAUCAGUGUAACAAGCCAAUGAAGAAGCGCUGCCAAGGCUACUGUAUAAUUCCUGCAUAAUUUGGGGCAUCUAGGAGACCAAACCUGGUUCAGGGUAGGGAAGGUAAAGGAGUAAAUUGAGGUGGAUCAGUGCCCCCAAGACCAGAUGCAAUCAGCAGAAUGCGUUUGUUUCCCAUUCCUUACUCCCCAGAGAGGAGGCAGGAAAUAGUUGUUCAGGCAGGCUGCUGCCUCUUGCUCCUGCAGCUGUGCUAACACAACUAUCGGUUCUACUGCAGCAUCAGCCUGCCUGUGAAAAGGAGGAUGCUUUCACUCCCAAAGAGCCAUCUCCCAGAGCAGAGAAGCCUGGACUGCCUUUCCAGGGAUCCCAAACAUUCAGCUCCCAGAGCGUCCCGAGUGGAGAUUCUUCUCAACAUCUUAAAGGGAAAGCCACACCACGAAGGCUCUCCUUUCUGUUGCUUGCAUCCUCCGCAGCCUAAAUCCUGGGUCCUCCUGCAGAUCAGGCAGGUGUCAGUGUGAGCUGGUGCCAGCCACGCACACUGCCAGAAGGAGCAAUAGCACGACGCAAGCAAUAUGAUGAUGAUGCGAUCUACAGCACGUUCCUACUCCUGCCGAAGCCGGUGGAAAGAUUUCUGUUGCUGACAGCAGGUGUCAGACUGACAUUCAAGUCACACCAUGGAGUCAUCCUGCUGCAGAGCAGCAUCCUGGACAAGUCUGGACUCUACAGAAACGGUAAGGGUCCUCUACUAGGAUCUCGUUCUCACAUUCUGAAGCCAAUAAGGCAAGAUUCAAGUGAAAAAUGUCGCAUCAGUGAAAGCACAUCUAUGAGAAGAGAAAGGCUGUAUUUCUGUCGGUAAAUUGAAAGUCCUGGUGCUGUUCUGGGUAACAAGAAUGAGGAGCAUGGAGGGGCUGCACCUGUGCUGAUGAAUCCCUGCAGCCUUCAAAGGGGUGAGCAAAGCAUUUUCUAGGUGCACUCAAAGGAACAUCUGCAACCCUGCACAGUGAUGGAGAGCUGUUCGCAAGGUGGCACGUGGCAGUGACACUGGGGAACAGCUCUUUGGUGCAGACAUUUGCUUUUCAGGGUCUGGGUAUGGCUCCUGGUAUGGUUUGUUUUGGAUCUAUAGGGUUAGCAUGGCUUGCUCUAUGUUCCCUCCCCUUCAUGAGGAUGGUUGCUCAGGACUGCUGCAGGACAAUGAAAACACUGAAUGUUUUGCUGCAGAGGCAACAGCGUCAAGGCAGAAGUGCCAAAGGAGCACUUUGAAAACAGCAGAAUGAAAAACACUUGUAGAAUUCCUGAGAUAAGCCACAAAUACGACAAGGUUGCAGAAGGAAAGCCUGCGUUGCAGAUCCCUGGAACCCUACCAGAAAAAACACCCUAAGAUGUUUCUGCUCACCCUAUUGCCACAUCUCAGAGCCCCUUGACCAGGCUGUUAUAACUCUUUGCAGAGCUGUACUGCAAACCAGAUGAGAAGAUUCAAGUAAACGACGAGUCGGUGUACUGUGGUAUCGAGAUGAUACUCAGGAGGGCAGAUGCCCCUUACGCUGAUCUUUUAACUUGCUGUGAACACCUUUGUCUACUCUUCCACUUCUCUAGCCUCAAACUAUUUUGGAAAAGACCACAAAGUUACUGAAUGAAUGUUAUUACAAAAUAAUCAUCCAUGUGCUUCACCAGACAGUAAGCCCUGGUUCACAAAACACAACUUUAUGAAUUAAUAUUUGCAGUUUUUAAUCGCCAUCUCAUAUUUUGCUCCCAACUACAGGCACCUCCCAGCGAGGGGAGCAGAAGCAGGAUUGGUUUAUUUAGGCCAGGACACAGAGGUGGCAAAUACAGAACUGUACAGCUGACCGUACCACAGUUCACUCUCUGCACCAGUGAUCAAGCUGUAUCAGUUCUUUUCCCCCUCUGAACGCUUUGUGUAACAUACCAGCACACCAAGAACGGUGUAUUUCACAAUCAGCCUGAAGCUUGCUCUUAGCAUACAAGCGCCAGUUCUAAUCAAGUUCAAGUGCUCAAAUGAUCUCUGAAAACAAUUACGAAAUGGUAACUCCCACUGCAGAUUCGAAAUCUACUCGGGAAUUUGAUUAGAGAUUUUUGGAAGCAUUUUCCCCAUCCACCAGCCUUGGCUGUCAUUUCCCCUAACAUAGUUUCUCGAAGCACAAAUAUAUCAGUUUAUUACAUCUACGUGCAGUAAAACAAAGUGGUACCGAGAAUGAUUUCGGAUUUUUUUCAUCUUCAGUCCCACAGAAAUGGUCCAGUAGAGUUUAGCAGCCUUCAGCGCACCCACAAGUGGUUAAUUUACUGAUUAGAUCAGGUUUUUAUUACCCUUUCUUCCUUCCUUUGCUGCCUCACUGCACAAAUGCUCUUCUUUUUUUCUUUUUUUUUCCCUUUUGCAACUUGAUUCUUUUGGUUCCUUUCACUGCACGUUAUCUGCUGCUGGCAGUAAUCUUAGCUCUUCAACUGAUAGCAAAAUUAUGAGGUGCUCAGUGCAAGAUGACAAUUUUCCUUCCCUCAUUCUAAUUCAUUUGCAGCACCAUCAAGGAAUCAGCGUCAUCUUUUCAAUGAGUUAACAGCUC
Long non-coding RNA from Gallus gallus (chicken), 3747 nucleotides. RefSeq lists it as uncharacterized. Lineage: Eukaryota; Metazoa; Chordata; Aves; Galliformes; Phasianidae. The record is from RefSeq and is a predicted model, not a curated record. The transcript has 4 exons.